Molecule: ribosomal RNA, 317 nt
Filed under: Malapterurus sp.
Lineage: Eukaryota; Metazoa; Chordata; Actinopteri; Siluriformes; Malapteruridae
Description: partial 12S ribosomal RNA
Rfam family: Bacterial small subunit ribosomal RNA
Source: RNAcentral
UCCGCCAGGGUACUACGAGCACAGCUUAAAACCCAAAGGACUUGGCGGUGUCUCAGACCCACCUAGAGGAGCCUGUUCUAGAACCGAUAACCCCCGUUAAACCUCACCACUCCUUGUUUUACCCGCCUAUAUACCGCCGUCGUCAGCUUACCCUGUGAAGGCACAACAGUAAGCAAAAUAGAUUCACCCAAAAACGUCAGGUCGAGGUGUAGCGUACGAAGUGGAAAGAAAUGGGCUACAUUUUCUUAACACUAAGAAAAUUACGAACGGCACACUGAAAAUAGUGCCCGAAGGUGGAUUUAGUAGUAAAAAGCAAG